GACGAACGCUGGCGGCGUGCCUAACACAUGCAGGUCGAGCGAAGAACUUCGGUUCUUAGCGGCGGACGGGUGAGUAACACGUGGGUAACCUGCCUCAAAGAGGGGGAUAGCCUCCCGAAAGGGAGAUUAAUACCGCAUAAUAUUAGAUCUUCACAUGGAGAUUUAAUUAAAGGAGUAAUCCGCUUUGAGAUGGACCCGCGGCGCAUUAGCUAGUUGGUGAGGUAACGGCUCACCAAGGCGACGAUGCGUAGCCGACCUGAGAGGGUGAUCGGCCACAUUGGAACUGAGACACGGCCCAGACUCCUACGGGAGGCAGCAGUGGGGAAUAUUGCACAAUGGGCGAAAGCCUGAUGCAGCAACGCCGCGUGAGUGAUGAAGGCCUUCGGGUUGUAAAACUCUGUCUUUGGGGACGAUAAUGACGGUACCCAAGGAGGAAGCCACGGCUAACUACGUGCCAGCAGCCGCCGUAA
RNAcentral lists this ribosomal RNA (470 nucleotides) under uncultured bacterium. RNAcentral describes it as "partial 16S ribosomal RNA". It matches the Rfam family "Bacterial small subunit ribosomal RNA", at positions 28 to 523 of the family's 1533-position model. The record is from RNAcentral.